GAUGAAGAACGUAGCGAAAUGCGAUAAGUAGUGUGAAUUGCAGAAUUCAGUGAAUCAUCGAAUCUUUGAACGCACAUUGCGCCCCUUGGUAUUCCAUGGGGCAUGCCUGUUCGAGCGUCAUUUGUACCUUCAAGCUCUGCUUGGUGUUGGGUGUUUGUCUCGCCUCUGCGCGUAGACUCGCCUCAAAACAAUUGGCAGCCGGCGUAUUGAUUUCGGAGCGCAGUACAUCUCGCGCUUUGCACUCACAACGACGACGUCCAAAAGUACAUUUUUACACUCUUGACCUCGGAUCAGGUAGGGAUACCCGCUGAACUUAAGCAUAUCAAUAAGCGGAGGA
This 337-nucleotide unclassified non-coding RNA is filed under the name soil metagenome. RNAcentral describes it as "partial contains 5.8S ribosomal RNA, internal transcribed spacer 2, and large subunit ribosomal RNA". The stretch from base 1 to 120 matches the Rfam family "5.8S ribosomal RNA", at positions 35 to 154 of the family's 154-position model. The record is from RNAcentral.